CUGUUGGAUAGAGGCGCGAUUUGUUAAAAGUAAUCGAGAUAGGAGGCAUCCGUUAUGCUCGAUGAAAGGAGCAGUCGCCGAAACCUUGAACUUUGCGAAUUCAAGGAUUGGGCCAUGGAAAUAAGAUUCCAAUGGACUCUUUGCUUUCAAAGCAUUGGAGCUAUCGAUGUU
This 171-nucleotide non-coding RNA is filed under the name Clostridium sp. RNAcentral describes it as "Lysine sequence". It matches the Rfam family "Lysine riboswitch aptamer". Rfam says of the family: Riboswitches are metabolite binding domains within certain messenger RNAs that serve as precision sensors for their corresponding targets. The record is from RNAcentral. Lineage: Bacteria; Bacillati; Bacillota; Clostridia; Eubacteriales; Clostridiaceae.